This 474-nucleotide ribosomal RNA is filed under the name uncultured bacterium. RNAcentral describes it as "bacterial SSU rRNA". It matches the Rfam family "Bacterial small subunit ribosomal RNA", at positions 8 to 526 of the family's 1533-position model. The record is from RNAcentral.
AGAGUUUGAUCAUGGCUCAGAACGAACGCUGGCGGCAGGCUUAACACAUGCAAGUCGAACGCGUGUAGCAAUACACGAGUGGCGCACGGGUGAGUAACGCGUGGAUAUCUGCCUUUUGGUUCGGAAUAACUCCGGGAAACUGGAGCUAAUACCGGAUGGUUCCUACGGGAUAAAGAUUUAUCGCCAAAAGAUGAGUCCGCGUACGAUUAGCUAGUUGGUGAGGUAAUGGCUCACCAAGGCGACGAUCGUUAGCUGGUCUGAGAGGACGAUCAGCCACACUGGGACUGAGACACGGCCCAGACUCCUACGGGAGGCAGCAGUGGGGAAUAUUGGACAAUGGGGGCAACCCUGAUCCAGCCAUGCCGCGUGAGUGAUGAAGGCCUUCGGGUUGUAAAGCUCUUUUGGCGGGGACGAUGAUGACGGUACCCGCAGAAUAAGCCCCGGCUAACUUCGUGCCAGCAGCCGCGGUAAUUC